GCUCAGAUGUGACUGGUGCUCAGGGAGUCAGGUGGAACCUGUUGCCUGGAAGAACAAGCUUGUCUGGCCCAAGACCUGACACCUGCAGAGCAGAGAGAAGAGCAGCCAGGCCAGCAGCCAUGCAGAGGGGACUGGGGGCUCUGCUGGGGCUUCUGUGGGUGCAGCUUUGCUGGGUGAGAGGGCAGCAGGUGGAGCAGAGUCCUUCAGGCCUGACGCUCCAGGAGGGAGCCAGAUCCACUCUGAGGGACAAAGCAGGAGGGAAAGUUAAAGGGAGUACUGAAUUUUCAAGAGCGCUACAGCACCCUGCACAUCUCGACCUCCCAGCUGGAAGACUCAGGCACCUACUUCUGUGCAGCAGAGGCACAGUGCUCCCAGGGGACCUGCAGCCUGUCUGCAAACUGCAGCUGCACCUGCAGCCACUGCCUGUGCUUCAGGGAGGACUUACACAGGAGCCUCUGCACAGCUAUGGGUGUCCUGGAUUCAUGUCAUAGCACUGUCACCUAUGGUAAUGGGAGAAUUCUCAGUACUGUCAUUCUAUUUGGGUGGGACUCUUCCACACAGAAACCCUUUGCAGAAAAAAUUUCUAAUAAAAAAGCAUUGGAGCAACUGAUAAGGAUGUCAGGGACCCAGAUAUUGUUAAAACAGGUCCCCUUUUCCCCU
Non-coding RNA from Marmota flaviventris (yellow-bellied marmot), 660 nucleotides. The record is from the annotation of a RefSeq genome assembly. Lineage: Eukaryota; Metazoa; Chordata; Mammalia; Rodentia; Sciuridae.